GGAGCAUCUCCCUCUACUCAUUCCCCAUAGAAGGUACCCACCACACUCCCUUGUAUAUACCAGUUCAUACUUUGCAUUUUAGUUGUCUUUUGGGUAUCUCUCUCUCACUUACACAGAGACUGUGUAACUCAAGUUUGGGGGAGGUACCAAGUAUUUGAUCAUGUUUGCUUUGAUGUUGUUUCAUUGAGUCAUGCAUUGCAUAUCUUUUUGCAUAUAAAAAAAAAAAAUUCAAUCAUUUAGUUUGCAUCAUUUGCAUUUCUAGGAGAGUCUAGAGCAUAUAGGUUGCAUUCACUUGCAUUGGAAGCAAUGAUUUUAAAUGCCUUGUAAAGAACACUACGUUGCACCGGAGUAGUUUAUGCACCUCUCAAAAAGACUUGUAUGUUUCGAGCCUUGAAAACUCUUCCUGAAACUUGUUGAUUGCUGAAACUCAGUCUUUGAAGCCAACUACAACCUUAUUUGAACUGAACGAACUUAAUGCUUCUUGCUCAUGGUCCCUUGUGUACUGAGUCAUGGCUAUACACACUUGAGUUGUCACAUCCUUUAUUCCAAUCUUAUUUUGACAAACUCUAGUGGUAGACCACUCCCAAAACCCUUCCCUCCUUUUUAGCUUUCAUUGUUUGAUGAGUGAGGACUUCUUCAGAAAGUCUUACAUGUGCAUAAUGUUGAGAGUAUCGGGAACGACAAUGCUUGAUCUUCAUUCUUGCUAGAUUGGGCACUCUAUUGUCUAGCUAUAGGUGGGGGUGAGUGUUGUGAUUAUGAUUUGGGAGCAAUGAAAAAGGAAAAGAAAUGACUCUUUGUGUUUAAGUGAAUUGUUUUAUUGGGAUAAGUAGAAAAGCCUCUAGCUCAAGUUUUGAAAAGUCUUGGCCCCCAGCCUAAAA
This 878-nucleotide long non-coding RNA is filed under the name Brassica napus (rape). Its description in RNAcentral is "long non-coding RNA (BNAP_LNC005215)". Lineage: Eukaryota; Viridiplantae; Streptophyta; Magnoliopsida; Brassicales; Brassicaceae. The record is from RNAcentral.